UUAAUUAAUUUUAUGCUAGCUCAAUCUUUUCAAGGAGAGCGCGGGGUAAGAGAAAUCACCAGUUAAUGUUUAAAUUUUGAUUUAAUAAUAAUAAAUUACAGGUCCAGACGGGACCUGUUCAAAUUACAGAAAUGUCGUGAAACAAAGAAAUUUGACAUUUAUUAAUUUUGAUCGAUAUUCACAGGGAGAUAACACAUUAUUACUCUUGAGACUCACCGGAGAUGCGCCGACGUCCCCUCAUUGUUCCUCGGCUCAUCUUUUUAGGAGGUUUACACACAAUAAUGUAAUUUUAAUUUAAUUUUUAUUAUGAAAAAGGUCUACUGCGACCUGUCACAAAGACGCCAAAAUGAGAAUGAAUUAAAUGGCCGACGGGAACGCCGAAGCAGACGCGCAUCUUUGCUUCGUGGUGAGUCUGGUAACUAUCAAAAUUCCCCAACGGCAAAUUUCCCCAAGCGGCGUUUGACCCAAUAUGCUAUAGUGAGUGCUGUUUUCGAUGAUGUUGGAGAAAUCUGCAAAAAUGAUAAAAAUGUAGUUGUGAGAAGUCCGCGAGAUGCCGACAUUGUUUCAGUUUGCGUAUUUGUAAAAUUCACAUAGUCGUAGACAUUUUUGUAGAAUUCAGAAAAUAAUAUGAGUGGUGAUCAGGAUUCCUGGUGGUGAUUCAAUAAAUAAAUGUUAUAUAAUUCUAAUUACAAUUUUGUAAAAUGAACUAAUUAAUUAAUUAAUUAAUUAAUUAAUUAAAUAAUUAAGAAGUGACAGAGUUAUUGCCUGUCUUAAUUAAUUAUGUGGAUUGAUUGUCAACAGUUCCAAAUGAAAAAAAAAUAAUGAGAAUAAUAAUGGAUACCAAUUUAGAGCUUUCUGCAAGUGGACAGAGACACCAAAAGAUGUCGAAUCAACCUCAAGGCAACCAGAGACGAGGAAACAAUUUAAAUCGACUUCAAAUUGCUUCAAGACUUGCUUUCAUUAGAGUUAUUGUCAAUUAUUGUUCAUAUUUUUUUUUAAUUAAUAUCAAUUACUACUAUUAAUUAUUACUAAUAUUAGUAUUAAUAGAACAUUUCGUUCGAGAACUAUUUAUUUUAAAAAAAACAUUUUUUUUCAAUAUUUAUAAUUUGUUUUUUCAAUAAAUACAAAUUUUUUUUAAAAACUUUCAAUUCACUUUUUCUAAAUUUUGGAAAUUGUACUAAUUAUACUUAAAAUAUUGACUAAUUUAUCAAACAAAUAGAAUAAUUUAUAAUUCGUUUGCUUCUUGGUUACAUUUCUUGGGAAUGCGUCAUGUAUAUAGUUAAUAUAUUAAUUUGUAAUUUGUAGGAUCUAAAU
Leptopilina heterotoma is the source of this 1314-nucleotide long non-coding RNA. RefSeq lists it as uncharacterized. The transcript has 3 exons. The record is from RefSeq and is a predicted model, not a curated record. Lineage: Eukaryota; Metazoa; Arthropoda; Insecta; Hymenoptera; Figitidae.